RNAcentral lists this non-coding RNA (29 nucleotides) under Mus musculus (house mouse). The record is from RNAcentral. Lineage: Eukaryota; Metazoa; Chordata; Mammalia; Rodentia; Muridae.
UGGAAUCUUCAAAAGAAGGCAAUAGUGCA